UACAGAGGGGGCAAGCGUUAUUCGGAAUUACUAGGCGUAAAGCGAGUGUAGGCGGGCGCUUAAGUCCGUUGUGAAAUCUCCCGGCUUAACUGGGAGGGGUCAAUGGAUACUGGGCGUCUUGAGUGAGGUAGGGGGCAGUGGAAUUCCCGGUGUAGCGGUAGAAAUGCGUAGAUAGUCGGGAGGAACACCUAUGGCGAAAGCAGCUGCCUGGGCCUUUACUGACGCUAAGACUCGAAAGCUAGGGGAGCAAACAGG
RNAcentral lists this ribosomal RNA (255 nucleotides) under uncultured bacterium. RNAcentral describes it as "partial 16S ribosomal RNA". It matches the Rfam family "Bacterial small subunit ribosomal RNA", at positions 524 to 776 of the family's 1533-position model. The record is from RNAcentral.